This 469-nucleotide ribosomal RNA is filed under the name uncultured bacterium. RNAcentral's name for it is "bacterial SSU rRNA". It matches the Rfam family "Bacterial small subunit ribosomal RNA", at positions 335 to 798 of the family's 1533-position model. The record is from RNAcentral.
GGCCUACGGGUGGCAGCAGUGGGGAAUUGUUCGCAAUGGGCGCAAGCCUGACGACGCAACGCCGCGUGGAGGAUGAAGGUCUUCGGAUUGUAAACUCCUGUUGAUCGGGACGAAAAGCCUCGACCUAACACGUCGAGGACUGACGGUACCGGUUGAGGAAGCCACGGCUAACUCUGUGCCAGCAGCCGCGGUAAUACAGAGGUGGCAAGCGUUGUUCGGAAUUACUGGGCGUAGAGGUCGCGUAGGCGGCCUUCGAAGUCGGACGUGAAGGCCCCAGGCUUAACCUGGGAACUGCGUCCGAUACUGGGAGGCUUGGAUUCGGGAGAGGGAUGUGGAAUUCCAGGUGUAGCGGUGAAAUGCGUAGAUAUCUGGAGGAACACCGGUGGCGAAGGCGGCAUCCUGGACCGAGAUCGACGCUGAGGCGCGAAAGCUAGGGGAGCAAACGGGAUUAGAUACCCCGGUAGUCCCA